Molecule: RNA transcript, 1447 nt
Organism: Arachis duranensis
Lineage: Eukaryota; Viridiplantae; Streptophyta; Magnoliopsida; Fabales; Fabaceae
Exons: 7
Source: RefSeq, a predicted model, not a curated record
CUCUUCCAUUCGCGAAUCCUUAUUUUCGUUGCACAUGUCGUCUUGCUGUGGAAAGUCGUCGGCAGUCGAGUUCUCUUCUACACCAUCGACAUUCAAUUUCUCUUCCACACAUUCAUCGUGCUCGUUUAGUUUUUUAGGAUGCCAAGAAAAGCUAAGUACACGAAAGAGGUAGAUUCUUUUGAAGAACACAUUGACGGAAUGCUUGCUGCUUCUGAUGCUGAAAAGCGCAAAGGACGAAAGACUACUGAGUUUUGGAAUGUUGAACUCAUUGAUUCUAAUGGAAUAGUCAAGCAAGCUAAAAUGAGUGUGAAGGAGGCUAUGGAGCGGUCUCUCAAUGGAAGCAAGGUCAUACUGAGGUUCAACGACGAGUUGCAAGCAGUUGGUGAUGGAGCUGGGAUGUUGAGUGGCAUUUUAGGAGCGCUGGGUUCUGAUUACAGUAAGUUUCCUAUCUGUGAGAAGAGUUGGGCAAAGGUGCAGGGCAAAGACACCGUUUAUAAUGAUUGCAUAAAAGGAGAUGUUCUACUUUCAGGAAGAUAGCGGUGGUAUAAUCAAGAAAACAUUUUUGCAACAAAUUGGGAGGUCCUGGAAGGAUACAAGGGGGAGGCUGUAUGAUAAGCAUUACAAAACAACUAUGACACUUGAGUAGAAUCUUGACAACCGCCCGGCGGGAAUUCCUAGAGAGCAUUGGAAGUGGUUCAUUGAUUAUCGUAAUGAUCCUGCAACAAAGGCGAAGUGCAAGCAAAACGCGCUGAAUCGAAAGAAGCAACUUUACACACACACUGGUGGUUCUAAAAGCCUGGCUAGAACAAGGGAAGAGGAGUCACAAAAACAAGGGAGGACAGUUGGUAGGGGAGAAGUAUGGAUCCUAAAGCACAAACGACCUGAUGGCAGCUAUUUACACAAAGAAGCUCAGAGGAUUGGUGAAAAAAUAAUAGAGAUUGAGCAGCUGGAUGAAUCUAUAAGAAUAUUGUCAGAAAAUGAUUCCCUUGCUCAAGCUCUCGGUAAGGAGCACCCGGGUAGAGUGCGUGGCAUAGGACACGGGCCGACACUAAGUCAACUCUUCCGUCCGAGUUCGCAGCCGUCGGUGGAUAGAGCUCAAGUAGAAGAGGCCCAAAGGAUGCUGUGUGAACUACAGACAAAGGUGACGACUGAAAAAUUAAAAAGGAAAGCAAUGGAGGAUGAAUUGGCAGCAGAGAAAACAAAGAGGCAAGCAAUGGAGGAUGGAUUGGCAGCAGAGAAAACGAAGAGGCAGGCAAUCGAAAGUGUGCUGAGUUAUCUGGUCCAACAGCAAGGUGGGGAGCUGCCACCAGACAUCCCUGCACGGAUGAAUUCUCUGGAUGAACAUGGCGGGAAUUAGAAAUUAGGAUAUAUGUGAUAUUUUGUUUUUCAGUAUAUAUUUUUUUUAAUAACUAUGCAUUUUAAAUUAUUAACUAAGUACUUUACCUUU